This 252-nucleotide ribosomal RNA is filed under the name uncultured bacterium. Its description in RNAcentral is "partial 16S ribosomal RNA". It matches the Rfam family "Bacterial small subunit ribosomal RNA", at positions 524 to 776 of the family's 1533-position model. The record is from RNAcentral.
UACGUAGGGAGCAAGCGUUGUCCGGAAUCAUUGGGCGUAAAGCGCGCGUAGGUGGCCCCAUAAGUCCGCUGUGAAAGUCAAAGGCUCAACCUUUGAAAGCCGGUGGAUACUGUGGGACUAGAGUACGGAAGAGGCGAGUGGAAUUCCUGGUGUAGCGGUGGAAUGCGCAGAUAUCAGGAGGAACACCAAUAGCGAAGGCAGCUCGCUGGGACGUACUGACACUGAGGCGCGAAAGCGUGGGGAGCGAACAGG